RNAcentral lists this ribosomal RNA (838 nucleotides) under Neohelicosporium irregulare. Its description in RNAcentral is "LSU rRNA". It matches the Rfam family "Eukaryotic large subunit ribosomal RNA", at positions 75 to 939 of the family's 3401-position model. Lineage: Eukaryota; Fungi; Ascomycota; Dothideomycetes; Tubeufiales; Tubeufiaceae. The record is from RNAcentral.
UUGCCUCAGUAACGGCGAGUGAAGCGGCAACAGCUCAAAUUUGAAAUCUGGCUUCGGUCCGAGUUGUAAUUUGUAGAGGAUGCUUCGGCUUACGUACCGGUCUAAGUUCCUUGGAACAGGACGUCACAGAGGGUGAGAAUCCCGUUUGUGGCCGGCACUUCCGCCAUGUGAAGCUCCUUCGACGAGUCGAGUUGUUUGGGAAUGCAGCUCUAAAUGGGAGGUAAAUUUCUUCUAAAGCUAAAUACCGGCCAGAGACCGAUAGCGCACAAGUAGAGUGAUCGAAAGAUGAAAAGCACUUUGGAAAGAGAGUUAAAAAGUACGUGAAAUUGUUGAAAGGGAAGCGCUUGCGACCAGACUUGCCCGCGGAUGCUCAACCGGUCCUUCGGCCGGUGCACUCUUCCGCGGUCAGGCCAGCAUCAGUUCGGGCGGUCGGAUAAAGGCCUUGGGAAUGUGGCUCUCUUCGGGGAGUGUUAUAGCCCUUGGUGCAAUACGGCCCGCCUGGACUGAGGCCCGCGCUUCGGCUAGGAUGCUGGCGUAAUGGUCGUAAGCGGCCCGUCUUGAAACACGGACCAAGGAGUCUAACAUCUAUGCGAGUGUUUGGGUGUCAAACCCGUGCGCGAAAUGAAAGUGAACGGAGGUGGGAACCUUAGGGUGCACCAUCGACCGAUCCUGAUGUCUUCGGAUGGAUUUGAGUAAGAGCAUAGCUGUUGGGACCCGAAAGAUGGUGAACUAUGCCUGAAUAGGGUGAAGCCAGAGGAAACUCUGGUGGAGGCUCGCAGCGGUUCUGACGUGCAAAUCGAUCGUCAAAUUUGGGUAUAGGGGCGAAAGACUAAUCGAA